GUGCGUACAUAUGAGGAAAUUAUUCGCUUCCACCAAGGUAAUUUGCUCUUCACAAAUUAUCCUUGCGAAAGUUAACUAUUUUUCAUACGAAUUUAAAAAAAAAGAAUUAAAUUCCUUGAUAAGAAACUGAUGUGUAUAUAUACAUCGAACGAAUGAAAAAUUAAGCAGAAGCGAUAAUUUUGUUUGUUAUAAUUAAUUGGAAAAUGGAAAUUUCAAACGAAUACCUAUUAUUUACGCAGAUAAGAGGAAUAAUAAGCGGUAGCGUCUAACCAAUCAUUCACAACUAAUGUGAAUUGAAUCGAGAACAAUGAAGAGAAGUCGUUAUUCUUGUAAAAUUUUCCGUUUGUCUUGUUUGUAAGCAUUUUUUUGUUUUUUCUUCAAUUUUACUUAAUCACUGAUACGAACGGAAAGAACGUAAUCCUAGUUUUAUAUUCUACACGACGUCGAACCAUGACAACCUAAUGAUAUAUUUCCGAAAGUAAGAUAUGGGUAUUUUUUCCUUUUCGAUAAAUAUAUAUGUAUACAGUAUACAGUAGACCUAUACCGAAGGUAGGCUAGCAGAAUGGUCUCUGAAGAAAUUAAGAUAAAUACGUAUAUAUUAAUUUCUUCAGAGACCAUUCAUCCAGAAAGAGCAUUCCUUAAGACUUCUUGAAAUUCAACCUGGAUUCCGCAUCUUAGUGCAGGUCGUUUACCUUACUUCGUUGCUAGUCUAGAGAGUUGUGCGCGUGAAAAGAAACGAUCCCUUGUCCCAGAUCACUCUAUGGAUCUUCCAGGUGACUACCGCUUGAGUCUUCUCGGCACCAAUUUGUCGCUCUGUCGAUCUCAGAUUCCCAUUGGAUCAGCUAGUGGAAAUCGUUGUACUCUUCUCCACGGCCUGGCCUCUUCCAUCUUCACGAUUAAUAUCGUUACAUGUUCUUCAUUGACAUUAAAAUUAAUUCUCUUUUAUAGAUUGUUUGUUGGAGUAAGCCGACGGAAGAAAAUGGCUUGUGUUGACUUCUUUAAUGGGUCUCUAGUAAAAAUCGCGAUUUCUUUUUUUUUCUUUUUUUUUAAAUAAGAGGCAGUUCGAUAUAUUUAAUCACCCGAUUUGUCUCCUCUAUUCUUUAAAAACAGAUUAGUAAAAUCGUGCCAUUUCUCAUAACGCGCGAACUGUUUGGAUGGUAUAACAGAUACCAAACUAGAUUAAUAUUUUCUGGGGAAUUACCGAAAACUGUUUUGCGAUUCUGAGAGUUUUAUAACGAUUUCGGAUGGUAAUUAAUAUCGAACCGCCGAUAAUUUAAUUACAUUUAAAAUUCGAGCGAAAAAUAAUAAACGAAACUCGUAUAUAAAGCGAAUUUGUAUUUUUUUUGUUUUUGUUUUCGGCAGCGACAUUUAAAAACGGUAAAAGAGAG
RNAcentral lists this long non-coding RNA (1388 nucleotides) under Androctonus crassicauda. The record is from RNAcentral. Lineage: Eukaryota; Metazoa; Arthropoda; Arachnida; Scorpiones; Buthidae.